RNAcentral lists this transfer RNA (65 nucleotides) under Diploderma vela. RNAcentral describes it as "tRNA-Glu". Lineage: Eukaryota; Metazoa; Chordata; Lepidosauria; Squamata; Agamidae. The record is from RNAcentral.
GUUUUUAUAGUUGAAUAACAACGCUGGUUUUUCGAAUCAGAGGUCUAAAAAUUUUAGUUGAAACU